GAUGAACGCUAGCGGGAGGCUUAACACAUGCAAGUCGAAGGGCAGCACGUCUUCGGAUGGUGGCGACUGGCGAACGGGUGCGUAACGCGUAUGCAACCUACCCUCAACAGGGGAAUAGCCCAGAGAAAUUUGGAUUAAUACCCCAUAGUAUUACAGAUUCGCAUGUUUCUGUGAUUAAAGUUCCAACGGUUGAGGAUGGGCAUGCGUGACAUUAGCUUGUUGGUGAGGUAACGGCUCACCAAGGCAACGAUGUCUAGGGGUUCUGAGAGGAUGAUCCCCCANACUGGUACUGAGACACGGACCAGACUCCUACGGGAGCAGCAGUGAGGAAUAUUGGACAAUGGAGGCAACUCUGAUCCAGCCAUCCCGCGUGCAGGAAGAAGGCCCUAUGGGUUGUAAACUGCUUUUAUACAGGAAUAAACCCCUNUACGUGUAGAGGGCUGAAGGUACUGUAAGAAUAAGCACCGGCUAACUCCGUGCCAGCAGCCG
Molecule: ribosomal RNA, 489 nt
Filed under: uncultured bacterium
Lineage: Bacteria
Description: bacterial SSU rRNA
Rfam family: Bacterial small subunit ribosomal RNA
Source: RNAcentral